Sipha flava (yellow sugarcane aphid) is the source of this 892-nucleotide long non-coding RNA. RefSeq lists it as uncharacterized. NCBI's taxonomy places the organism in Eukaryota, Metazoa, Arthropoda, Insecta, Hemiptera, Aphididae. The transcript has 5 exons. The record is from RefSeq and is a predicted model, not a curated record.
UUGUGUUCUUCGGCGUCUUAUUGUGAUUUGUUUAGGGAUUUGUUAUCCCCCAGGGGAACACGUUCUUACGUGUUUACGGGUCUUAGCGAACCCGGGGUCCCGAGCUCUUGUUAGGUUGUUUGUAGGAAUAUCUGACCAGCUGUUCAACUCUUUUGACUUUGAUUUAGGGAAAUAGUUGCAAUGUUUGUUAUUGGUAAUCUUUUUGUUCAUCGGUUUUUCUUUGUGAUUGGCAUUAGUUACUUGUUUAAUUGAUUGUCCUCUUUAUAGUAUUAGAUUUAUUUGUUGUUAGUUUUAUGAGAGGUAUUUCUUGGUUUUUUUUUUUUUUUUUGGUUGUAUCUUAUUUUGUAUUGAAUAGUACUGAAUUUUUGCUACUAAAUAGGAAUAUGAUUUUUACUUUAAUAUUCUUGGUUUUGUUCUUCGGUUUUUUUUUUUUUUUUGUGAUUUGUUUUAGGUAUAUGUUUGAUGGAUUGUUGCUUUAUGUGGUAUUGGAUAUAUUUGUCUAUUUCAAUGAAAGAACAUGGAUUUUCUUUUUUGUAUCAACAACACAUGUAACCUAACCAAGGAUUUUUCGGGAGCCAGAUCAUGGAUAUUUAUCCUUUCAACCUAAAGGAAGUGUCAUUGGAGAGCCGGAACCUGGAUUUUUUUUUUGGAUCCACCCAAAUCAAUUUUCCACCGGGAGCCGGGGAUCCUCUUUUCGUUUUUGUUUUUGAAUUUUAGACUUAUAAUAUUUAAUGAACUGGGAUAUUUUUAUCAUCUAUCAAAAUCAAAAUUGUUUCAGGAGCUAAGUAACCUUUUUUCAUUUUCCACUUUACAUUUUCAAUGGUAUAUACAUGAUAAUUUUGUAAUUUACUUAAAUUAAUUUAAACAUUUUAAAUAAAUUAUAUUAACUAUA